This 332-nucleotide ribosomal RNA is filed under the name uncultured bacterium. Its description in RNAcentral is "bacterial SSU rRNA". It matches the Rfam family "Bacterial small subunit ribosomal RNA", at positions 568 to 898 of the family's 1533-position model. The record is from RNAcentral.
CGUGUAGGCGGUCGGUCAAGUCUGAUGUGAAAGCCCGGGGCUCAGCUCCGGAAGUGCAUUGGAAACUAGCCGACUGGAGCGCGAUAGAGGAGGGUGGAAUUCCUGGUGUAGCGGUGAAAUGCGUAGAUAUCAGGAGGAACACCGGCGGCGAAGGCGGCCCUCUGGAUCGUUGCUGACGCUGAGACGCGACAGCGUGGGGAGCAAACAGGAUUAGAUACCCUGGUAGUCCACGCCGUAAACUAUGGGUACUGGGUGUUCGGGGUGUUGACCCCCUGAGUGCCGCAGCUAACGCAUUAAGUACCCCGCCUGGGGACUACGGCCGCAAGGUUAAA